UACGUAUGUGGCAAGCGUUGUCCGGAUUUAUUGGGCGUAAAGCGCGCGCAGGCGGUCCUUUAAGUCUGAUGUGAAAUCUCGCGGCUCAACCGCGAGCGGUCAUUGGAAACUGGGGGACUUGAGUGCAGAAGAGAAGAGCGGAAUUCCACGUGUAGCGGUGAAAUGCGUAGAGAUGUGGAGGAACACCAGUGGCGAAGGCGGCUCUUUGGUCUGUAACUGACGCUGAGGCGCGAAAGCGUGGGGAGCGAACAGG
Molecule: ribosomal RNA, 253 nt
Filed under: uncultured bacterium
Lineage: Bacteria
Description: partial 16S ribosomal RNA
Rfam family: Bacterial small subunit ribosomal RNA
Source: RNAcentral